Molecule: long non-coding RNA, 1579 nt
Organism: Mesocricetus auratus (golden hamster)
Lineage: Eukaryota; Metazoa; Chordata; Mammalia; Rodentia; Cricetidae
Exons: 3
Source: RefSeq, a predicted model, not a curated record
CCUGAUUUCAUUUUGAAUAUGAUUUCUCUCUGCUCUUCUUUUGACCAGGCAGUCAUUUGUACUGUAUGGACAGUAUUCGCUGCCGCUACCAAAGAGACAUAACUUGGAAGUGCUUAUGAGUGAUUUGCUGUGCUCCUGAGCAGGGACAUUUUGGGGACCAGAACAGGAGGAACCACAGAGAGGGCUGGAGGUACUGCAAGAGAAGACAGAUUGAAAAAAAGUCAACAGUCUGGGAGACAGCUUCGUCAGUAAAGGGACAUGCCGCGCAUGCCUAAGGAGCAGAGUUUGGAUCCCCAGCACCCAGGUCACCUAAUAGGAGGGAUUUCAGCUGGCCCCUUGUACAAUUCUCUGGAGAUCCUUAUUGAAAGAAAAUGAAAACAUCAAAACCUGCUGGAUGUCACUAGUGAAGGGCAGCAUCACUUGAGUGACAGGUGAUGCAAACAUGUCUCCAGUUGCUUCUGCUGGCUAUGAACUGUCACUACUACCUUUGGAACGAUUUGAGGAAAGAAAGUUGAUGAUUCCUGAGAGGAGUUUGAACAUCCUGGAUUCUGAUGGGUGACUAUGGAAGUCACUCCACAGACAGAGUGUCUGUCCAGGAGACCGAAUGUUAUCCUGAGCACAAAAGCCUAGAAACCUGAGAAUGAUAUUCAGACAGAGAAUCCAUUGUGACCUUGGGAUAUGGAGGACAUCUUCCUUCCAUUUGGGAUUACAGGGAAUCCCAAAUACAGUUUCUGACUGCUGGGUGGACAACUCCUGCGUUCCACAUUUGGAGUGGCAGCAACUUUCUUGCUGGGCCUCAUGUCCUGCAUUGUAGCUGUGGUGAUGUAUUCCUGGAGUCAGGUGGCCUGCAUUGGCAGAGGGGUAGUUCAGUCCUCCAGUGUUCUGGAAACCAUUUCUAUUAGCCCACUCUACAGAGUCCUCCAGUUCUGUCUUCACAAGCUCCAGGGUCACUUUAUCAAAUUCUUUCUGUGUCAAGUAUCAAGAAUGGAUUCUGUUUCACACACCAAACUCCAUCAUGAAACAGAGUACCAAGACAAAUGGGAGGCCUGUCGUAAAUGAAUCUCAUAGAUGCUUUCACUUCCCUCACAAAUGAAAUCGAGACAAACGAACAAAUUACUAAAAGAGGAGAAUGUGAGUGCAAUCGUUGUCUAUAACACUAAAUAACAAGAGAACUGGAUUGGUUCAAGUUUGGGAAGUGAUGCAUGUUUCUAAGAUUCAUAAUCCAUAAUUACACAAUACGGACUCACAGGGGCUUGCAAUAAAGAAAUGUGUUUAGUGUUGUUUACCCUACAGUUUGCCAAAUUGCUUCAGAAUCGCAGUCAGUAUUUGACAAAUGUUAGUCUAUUUAGCUUUGAGGAAGAAAGAUACUGUCUAUAUAACUUACUAAGAAAAUACAUGAGACAUCACAAACAAGCUAUUAAAAAUUUAAAAGAGAAGACAAUAUAGAAUAAAAUUUUAUAAGCAAUAAAGCCAAUACAGUUCUGUUGACAGAAGUUUCUGUAACACCCAGUGCCACAACCACUUAGUCCCAAAUAAACAUGCAGAGGCUUAUGUUAAUUAUAAACUGUUUGGCCAAUGA